This is a long non-coding RNA of Arachis duranensis, 1849 nucleotides long. RefSeq lists it as uncharacterized. The transcript is spliced from 9 exons. The record is from RefSeq and is a predicted model, not a curated record. Lineage: Eukaryota; Viridiplantae; Streptophyta; Magnoliopsida; Fabales; Fabaceae.
UUGUGGGAGUUCUUUAAAGGAGGUUUCUGACAACCUUCAUAACAGUUCAUUUUGGCAAUUUAUUAAACUCCCCUACAUAGAACUCUCACUAUUUUUACAGGAUUAAAAUUUCCAUUCCCGCAAACACACCUAAACAAAUAGAAUAGUGAAACCCCCAAAUCAAACCCUAAACAGAAUUUCUCAAUUUUAAUAGAUGAGAAACGCUGCGAUGCUGCACCUCCAGCUACUCAUUUCACCACCGCCGACUCAACCACAUCUGAGCCUACAUCCACGCACCACCGUGCUAGAAGCGUAAGGCCAGGUCCCUCUCACUAAAGUGCAUCAAAUCCGCAUGGCGUCGCUACUGCUUCGUCUUCUACGGCGGGUCUUGCCGCUUGUUCUAGCUACCUCUUCAGGAACUCCGAUUCUGAUAUCUGGAGAGUGUCCUAACUCGAUUCCACCUUCUUCCUUCAAUCUCCACAACCAAAAUGCCUCUCAGACUCGAAAUUAAGGAACAUAAAAAGGCUAUGAACAAGCUUCAGCAAGAAUGUGAAGAAAAAAUUGCAAGAUUAAAAGUUGAGGUUAAGGCAUGUCUACAUAAGGAAGAAACAUAUGAAUCAACCACAAGUCAGCUGCAUCAAGAUUUAACAGCAUAUAAAAAUCAAAUAUGUAAGUCCUAGCUAAUAGGUUGGACCAAAUCCAUUUUGAAGUGGAAUCAAAAUAUAAUGUUGAGAUUCAAGACUUGAUAGAAUGCCUGCUAGCUGAGCAGAAAGAAAAAAUGAGUUAAUUUACUUCUUACUUUAAUUUGCACAUCAAUCCGGCUUUGCUUGUUCGAAACUAUUGAGCAUGAGGAGUUGCACUUGUCAAAUCAACUCAAGCUUCUAUUUCUUCAAAGCGAGAUAACAGUAACAUUGCUGCUACCGCAACUGGCAGCAGCAACAAGCAUGUUUCAUUACUAAGCUAUGCUAAUAAAAGAAGAUCUACCCCCUAACAAGUUGCUUCAGAUGUCAGACAAUUUUUAAUAAUUUGACAACAUCAGUCAUGAAGAAAUUUGAAAGUGCAACAACUGGCUUAGAAGGCGAUGUAGAUGCAUUCUGCACUUACAUCAUUAAUUGAAAACAAAAGGAACAAAAUUCCUCUUGAUUUAUCAAGCACGUGCAACAAUACAGCCAGCUCUAAAUGGUGCUUGCUUUCGACAGAGUAUUUUCUGGCUGAAAUUAAGGGACCUGAGCAAAAAUCUGAUUCAGAGGCUGAAGAAGGACUGCUGAUAUUGUUGGAUUCUGACCUCCUUGCACUCGAAAUGGAAUUUUUGGAGCUACAGAAACUCAAAUAAUGCGCUCUCAAUUGCGUUGGAAAAUAGACAUCCAGGACUUUCUAGCAAUAUAUAAUAGUUUAUACUUUGCCCGCGUUUAGACGAUGCAAACUGGCGUUCAACGCAAGCUUUCUGCCCUAUUCUGGCGUUAAACGCCAGAAACAAGUUGCAAGCUAGAGUCAAACGCCAGAAACAAGUUACAAACUGGCGUUUAACUCCAAAGAAGGCCUCUACAUGUGAAAGCUUCAAUGCUCAGCACAAGCACACACCAAGUGGGUCCGGAAGUAGAUUUCUGCAUCAUUUACUUAAUUCUGUAACCCUAGUAACUAGUUUAGUAUAAAUAGAACUUUUUACUAUUGUAUUAGACAUCUUGGAUGCUGGGAUUUUUGGAUUAUCUUUUGAUCCUUUGAUCACAUUUUGGAGGCUGGCCUCUCAGCCAUGCCUGGACCAUAAUCACUUAUGUAUUUUCAACGGUGGAGUUUCUACACACCAUAGAUUAAGGUGUGGAGCUCUGUUGUUCUUUGAGUAUUAAUGCAACUACUACUAUUUUCUAUUCAA